GAGUGCGGGCCCCUCGGGGCCCAACCUCCCACCCGUGUUGCCCGAACCUAUGUUGCCUCGGCGGGCCCCGCGCCCGCCGACGGCCCCCCUGAACGCUGUCUGAAGUUGCAGUCUGAGACCUAUAACGAAAUUAGUUAAAACUUUCAACAACGGAUCUCUUGGUUCCGGCAUCGAUGAAGAACGCAGCGAAAUGCGAUAACUAAUGUGAAUUGCAGAAUUCAGUGAAUCAUCGAGUCUUUGAACGCACAUUGCGCCCUCUGGUAUUCCGGAGGGCAUGCCUGUCCGAGCGUCAUUGCUGCCCUCAAGCCCGGCUUGUGUGUUGGGCCCCGUCCCCCCCGCCGGGGGGACGGGCCCGAAAGGCAGCGGCGGCACCGCGUCCGGUCCUCGAGCGUAUGGGGCUUCGUCACCCGCUCUAGUAGGCCCGGCCGGCGCCAGCCGACCCCCAACCUUUAAUUAUCUCAGGUUGACCUCGGAUCAGGUAGGGAUACCCGCUGAACUU
Molecule: ribosomal RNA, 499 nt
Filed under: Penicillium sp. MAR09
Lineage: Eukaryota; Fungi; Ascomycota; Eurotiomycetes; Eurotiales; Aspergillaceae
Also listed under: 2 other names
Description: eukaryotic LSU rRNA
Rfam family: 5.8S ribosomal RNA (bases 139-292)
Source: RNAcentral